AUGGGCCUCGAGUCUCGGCCCGCCGCCCCCGGCGCGGCCGCGGCCGCGCAGCCCAGGCCGCAGAAGCAGAGGAAGGUGGAGGUGUCGGCGGGGGGAGGAGACAAUGAGCUGGCGCCGGUGGUCGUGAUGCUGCCGUCGAGCCGGCGCCCGCCCGCGCCCGACUCGCCCACGCACGCGCCGCGGAGCCACCACAGCGCCGACCUGCCGGCAAGGAGCCCCAGGCGGAGCCGCCUCGUGCACGCCGCCGCGUCGAGGCUGCUGGAGCCGGGCGCGCGCGCGAGCUCGAGGGCCGGCGCCAGGCUGCAGACCAUCGCUGCACAUCUUGACGCGGUGUUGCAGAUUAAAGAGAGUACUGAAUUCUUUAUUUCAAUGGAGAACAAAAUGGAAGAUCUCUUCAAUCUAGAGUCUGAAAUCGUAGAUAUGUCCAUGUCCAUCGACACAAUGAAGACUGAUGAUCACGGCAGCAAUGCAGAAAUACCAUGUGUUCAGAGUUCUCCAGAGCAUGAUUUUGAGUUCCUAGAAGGCAGGCUCCACAGCAUCAGAGAAGCCAUUGCAAAUGCUGAGCUACUUCUGGACAACAGCCUCUUCUGUGGCACACCGUCAAGUCUAUCACUCCAUUCAUUCAUCGUUGAGAUGCUGGAGACCGUUGAGGCCGUCUUUGGCGAUGGAUCAGAGAGCAGCUUCGGCUUCCAGGAAGAAAACAACUUUCAACGCACCAACUUCCUGUUUGACUGCAUCGUCAAGUCACUGGACUCGAAGUUCCGCGACUUCAGAAAAUGCGGGUACAAGGCUUUGUUGCGAAUGCCUCUCACCAUGAGCAAAGACCUGCUGAAGAGGGAGAUAUCCAAAGAGAUCGGCAGCUGGAGCGAUGUUUCAUCGGACCGUGCUGCGGAGAAGGAGCUGGACCAGGUGGCGGCGGAGAGGUGUGACGGGUGCCGGACUAAGGCGUUCGACAUCAGCGUCGCCAUCGAGGAAGACAUACUCGAGGCCCUCGUCGGUGCGUUCGCCUUCGACCAAUGCUGCUGA
RNAcentral lists this ribosomal RNA (1026 nucleotides) under Triticum aestivum (bread wheat). RNAcentral describes it as "partial small subunit ribosomal RNA". The record is from RNAcentral. Lineage: Eukaryota; Viridiplantae; Streptophyta; Magnoliopsida; Poales; Poaceae.